Molecule: ribosomal RNA, 468 nt
Filed under: uncultured bacterium
Lineage: Bacteria
Description: partial 16S ribosomal RNA
Rfam family: Bacterial small subunit ribosomal RNA
Source: RNAcentral
GACGAACGCUGGCGGCGUGCUUAACACAUGCAAGUCGAACGGAAAGGCCCUGCUUUUGUGGGGUGCUCGAGUGGCGAACGGGUGAGUAACACGUGAGUUACCUGCACUUGACUUUGGGAUAACUUCAGGAAAAUGGGGCUAAUACCGGAUAGGAGCUACUGCUGCAUGGUGGGGGUUGGAAAGUUUCGGCGGUUGGGGAUGGACUUGCGGCCUACCGGCUUGUUGGUGGGGUAGUGGCUUACCAAGGCUUUGACGGGUAGCCUGUCUGAGAGGGUGGCCGGCCACACUGCAUCGGAGAUACGGCCCGGACUCCUACGGGAGGCAGCGGUGGAGAGGAUUGCACAAUGGGCGGAGGCCUAAUGCAACAACGCCGCGUCGGGUAUAACAUGCAUCGGUUAGUAAACCACUAUCGCCUGUCACGAAGCGUGAGUGACGGUAAUGGGUAAAGAAGCACCGGCUAACUACGUG